UGAGCCCUGAAGCACGGCAUUGAGAAGCCGCCUAAGAAGGAGGCAGGUCCAUCAGCCUUGGUGCCCGACUGAUUACCCUGAGCAGAGCUCCCCAGCCCACCUGUGAUGGACACAUGGAGCUUGAGCAAGGAAUAAAUUUUUGUUGCUGGACUCUGUGAUUACACUGGACCUAUCCAAGAUCCGAGAUAAUCAACUCAUCUCAAAAUCCUUAAGUUGACCACAGCAGCAUCGUCCCUUUUGCAGUGUAAGAGAAGGAACACAGGCUCAAACAUCAGUGCCAUAUCUGAAGACAUUCAGCUAAUAACAGGAUGGAGUCCAACCUGAAACAACUGUCACGCUGAGCUUAAUUGCUGGAGAUGGUUGAAGGCACUGGGAGGCUGGAGUUUCCUGGAGGUGUCGGUGGCCAACCGUCAAUUAUUUGGGCUACUGUGCAGUGGGGAUAGAAGGAUGAUUAGAAUCCACAGACAACCCACUGGCCUUUGUUUACCAUUAACUUCUGUUUUCUCCACCAGCCAAGCUUCUCCAGACCCAGGAGAUGGCUCUUCCCCCUGUGUAGCACACUCCUUCCAGUCAAGGGGUCUUGCACUGCUAUUUCCCCUUCUGCUUUGCUUGGUUCAUUCUUACUGACCCUCCAAAUACUGAAGGAAUGAAUGGAGAAGUAAGUAAAUGAGAGAAGUGGCCAAGAGUCUCCAAGAGAGGAAAUUAAAAAAUCCUAUACCUGUGAGGAACUGGCCCACUUGCAAAA
This 745-nucleotide long non-coding RNA is filed under the name Pongo abelii (Sumatran orangutan). Its description in RNAcentral is "lincRNA". Lineage: Eukaryota; Metazoa; Chordata; Mammalia; Primates; Hominidae. The record is from RNAcentral.